GGGUGUGAGGGCGAUCUGGCUGCAACAUCUGUCACCCCCACUGAUCGCCAGGGUUGAUUUGGCUGAUCUGGCUGGCUAGGCAGGUGUCCCCUUCCUCCAUCACCGCUCCAUGUGCGUCCCUCCGGAAGCUGCGCGCUCGGUCGAAGAGGACGACCAUUCCGGAUAGAGGAGGACCGUUCUCCGUCAAGGGUGUACAUGCAGCUGCGCUCCCUGCUAGACCCUCCAAACGAGCUCUCGGAGAAUGGUUCUGCUGAGGGCCUGCCUUGUUCUAACACCAAACACAGUGUCCUGUGGAGUACCGCACGGGCGAGUGA
This 314-nucleotide small nuclear RNA is filed under the name Vicugna pacos (alpaca). RNAcentral's name for it is "7SK RNA (ENSVPAG00000017056.1)". It matches the Rfam family "7SK RNA". From Rfam's summary of the family: 7SK was discovered as an abundant small nuclear RNA in the mid-70s but a possible function has only recently been suggested. Two independent studies have found that 7SK RNA binds the CDK9/cyclin T complex (known as elongation factor P-TEFb). The record is from RNAcentral. Lineage: Eukaryota; Metazoa; Chordata; Mammalia; Artiodactyla; Camelidae.